AUAAAAAGUCAUACCUGCUCAAUGGAGUAUAUUUCUAAAUAGCUGCGAUACUUUGAUCGUACUAAGGUAGCAUAAUAAUUUGCCUUAUAAUUGAAGGCUAGAAUGAAUGGUUAAACAUGGGUUUGUCUGUCUCUACUAAAUUAUAUAGAAUUUUGUUUUUAUGUGAAGAAACAUAAAUUAAAUUAUCAGACAAGAAGACCCUAUUGAGCUUUAGAAUAAGUAAGAUUAUAGCUUCUUAUCUAUGCUUAAUUUCUUUUGUUGGGGCAACAGGGGAUAAGAUAAUAUCUUUAAUAAUACAGUUAUUUAAUAAUAUUGAUCCAUUAAAAAAUGAUUAUUUAAAUAAGUUACCAUAGGGAUAACAGCAUUAUUUUACUUUUGAGUUCUUAUUUAGAGUAAAGUUUGUGACCUCGAUGUUGGAUCAAGGCAUCCUAAAGGUGUAGGCGUUUUUAAGGGUUAGUCUGUUCGACUAUUAAAGCCUUA
Molecule: ribosomal RNA, 480 nt
Filed under: Dentimargo sp. MNHN-IM-2013-47082
Lineage: Eukaryota; Metazoa; Mollusca; Gastropoda; Neogastropoda; Marginellidae
Description: partial 16S ribosomal RNA
Rfam family: Bacterial large subunit ribosomal RNA
Source: RNAcentral